CUUUGGCGCGACGAGGCUAGGUGUGGCGGGGCAAGGCAAGGCGAACCGACCCGAUGCGUCUCUGUCUGCGUCCAAUGAAAGCUAUUUCCUGCUAGUGUUGCCAACGUGACCGCGCAAACACGUUUCACGAGCUAGUCGAGUGCGACAGUUUAUGCAUCGCCACGCCUCGACGUGUACCACUCGCGUUUUUAGUGCUUUGUACGGGUUAAUUGUUGACGAAAAACCUUGCGGGCAACGUUCUCCUAAACGAGACGUUUUUUAUUUGUAAUAUUCGAUGAUAUUGUAAAUCCAGCUAUCGUAUCGUAAAUUCAUUUCGAGUGCAAAUCAAGCUGCGCAGUCUCGCGAAAUUGAUCACGUUUCGAGAUCACGGGAAGUAUAAGUAUCUCUGGAAAGGCGAAAUUGCGAAAUUCGAGAAGCAAACGUGGCCAAAGGCCGGUUUUGCCGGAUUGGAAAACGAUAGCGCUGUUAUGUGCGAACCUUCGCGCCUUAUAAGAAAGAAAUGAUGGACAAUGAAGACAAGAUAGGAAAAAAAUAAAAGAAAUAAAGAAGACGAUGCUAAUUCUCUUUGUGUAUGGGAAAACCGAGCGGGGUCCGUUGAACAAACUAGGAGGCAACCCGCCAGACUUUCGAAUAAGCUAUUCAACCAGUGCAAUAUACCGUGCAAAUAUAGCGCAUCCCGUCUAGACGACGUUGCUUUUCCAUCUGAACGAGAAGUUACCUCCUUAUUUCGUGAUUUUUCCAUGGAAAACUUGGCGAAGAAAUAGGAGAAGCAAUAGCAAAACAGUUGAAGUCGAAUCGAUUCGAGAUCAUCGAUCUUGCCCAAUCGUUUUCGCUCGUUAAACAACGAUAGUG
Apis mellifera (honey bee) is the source of this 852-nucleotide long non-coding RNA. RefSeq lists it as uncharacterized. NCBI's taxonomy places the organism in Eukaryota, Metazoa, Arthropoda, Insecta, Hymenoptera, Apidae. The transcript has 2 exons. The record is from RefSeq and is a predicted model, not a curated record.